CAAUGGGAUGCGAAUCUCGAAAGCCUGUCUCAGUUCGGAUUGGAGGCUGAAACCCGCCUCCAUGAAGUUGGAUUCGCUAGUAAUCGCGCAUCAGCCAUGGCGCGGUGAAUACGUUCCCGGGCCUUGUACACACCGCCCGUCAAGCCAUGGGAGCCGGGGGUGCCUGAAGUUCGUGACCGCAAGGAGCGACCUAGGGCAAAACUGGUGACUGGGGCUAAGUCGUAACAAGGUAAC
RNAcentral lists this ribosomal RNA (234 nucleotides) under uncultured bacterium. Its description in RNAcentral is "partial 16S ribosomal RNA". It matches the Rfam family "Bacterial small subunit ribosomal RNA", at positions 1258 to 1500 of the family's 1533-position model. The record is from RNAcentral.